GUGUUUGAAACCAGGGUUGUUGAAAUCAGUUGAGUGAGCAUCUCUGACACGGCAACAACUGCUGUGCACUAUUUCUCACUAAAUCGCAAUCAUGAUAAAUUAUGGCGUUGUGCUGCUGUUGGGUGUUGAAUCGUUGAUGGUUGGGUCGACCACUGGUGUGCCGAUGUCACCUGGGUAUGGCGGAUAUCAAAGCACAACACUACUUUCUUAUUACUCAACAUCAACCAACGCUGCUCCAGCUUACUACACCAAGGCUCCAAAGUACUACACCACCAAGGCUUCAGAGUAUUACAAGUUUUAUUCAAGGAGAGAAUAGGCGAAAUAAUCAAGCGAGUGAUUAUCUCCGACACGACAACAACUGCCGUGCACUAUUUGUCACCAACUGCAUUCUUCAUCGUGCAUAGAGUAAACUGUGGCGUGUGCUGCGGUUGGUUGUCAAAUACCUCAAAUACUACACCACCGACACUUCAAUUUUUGCUGCCCGAGCUGCAUCACAAAGAGCCCGAACCCAUCCCCAGCAACGUCAACCUGCAGAAGGAAAGGCCAGUUUGUAUGUCCUUCAGAAGGUCACGGAGAUCAUUACGUAAAACUGUCAAUGCGGUGGUGUAGAGGUUGGGUGAGAACGGGAUGUGUUUGCUUCAUUAUCAAGCAGGUAAAAUAGCCGCAAGGCUUAAGAGAGGGGUCAGGGUGAGAAAAAGUCGUAUAAAAGAAGAGAGAAAAGGCGGUUGAAAUCAGUUGAGUGAAAAUCUCCGACACGGCAACAACUGCUGUGGACUAUUUGUCACCAACUGCAUUAUUCAUCGUAAUACCGGUUCGCAACCAAAUGUUAACUAUGGUGUCGUACUGCUGUUGGUUGCUGUAUCCUUGAUGGUUGGGUCGACUACUGGGGUACCGAUGUCUCGUGGGUAUGGUGGAUACCAAACCGCAACGCCGGCGUCUUACCACACAACAUCACACGCAACAACCAGAGUACUACACCACAACUUAUGAUGUCCCGAACUACUACACCGAAGCCUCAAAGUAUAAUUCUGCCUCGAAUUACACCACCGGAGUACUACACCACCAAGGCAGCGGAGUACUACACCACCAAGGCAGCGGAGUACUACACCACCAAGGCAGCGGAGUACUACACCACCAAGGCAGCGGAGUACUACACCACCAUGUAUGCUGCCCUUGCCUUUUAGACCGAGGCUCCCAAGUACUACUCCGUUCCCUGCUUCAGCACCGAGGCUCCAGCUUAUUACACCACCAAAUCGGUUAAAUAUUACACAGAAACGCCCAAGUACUAGUAUUUUGUCAACUUCGCGUCAGUUGUCUAUUGGUGUUGGAUUUCUUCAAGACCAGUAUGCUGAAUUGUGAAUUGUUUGUUUUAUUUUAUGUUUUAGAGGUGACUACUUCCUUAUUCAUACGGACAUGUUCUUGUGGUUCGACGAUGAUAUUUCAAGGAUUAGUUACGAAAGACACUUGUAACUGUAGAUUUUAUCAAAUCUUAUAAGUAAUGGGGAAGUGGCUGACCUUUGUAAAAAUGAAAGACUUUGAAGUUGAGAGAAAUAUAUUGAUACAAUUCAUAAACAAA
This 1576-nucleotide long non-coding RNA is filed under the name Daphnia pulex (common water flea). RNAcentral's name for it is "uncharacterized LOC124205158". Lineage: Eukaryota; Metazoa; Arthropoda; Branchiopoda; Diplostraca; Daphniidae. The record is from RNAcentral.